Long non-coding RNA from Cydia pomonella (codling moth), 297 nucleotides. RefSeq lists it as uncharacterized. The record is from RefSeq and is a predicted model, not a curated record. NCBI's taxonomy places the organism in Eukaryota, Metazoa, Arthropoda, Insecta, Lepidoptera, Tortricidae. The transcript has 3 exons.
GACUGAGCGCGGCCUACACAACUUUGACACCCACCCGCUAUCUCCAGUUACUCGUGAACAAGAUGCAUGUAACUGCGUUGAAAUAUCGGGAGCUCAAUUAAAACAAUAAAAAAGGACACCCUAAUAUAUAAAGUCGAACACUGAACGAACACUGAAAGUAACAAGCAGUCAAACUCGACGAAUCAAACUAGCAGUCAAACUCGACAAAACAAGAAAUAUCAAUAGAGUCAGCAGGUAAAGCCAUUGCCCAUUUUCGUAAGCCUACCAGGAUGACAGAACUGAGUACUAAAACAGCAC